UUUCUCCUCCUUGUCUCAGCUUCAGCGCGAGAAUGCCCUUUACUUUUCCAUCUUUUUAAACUCUCCCUUAAACUGACUGGUACUAUCGAUAGCUCGGCGCUCGGCCUUUCGGAGCUGGGGAGGGUGGAGAACACCGAGUAGCGAGAUGGGUGGAGAGGCUUGGAUUGGCGUGUUAUGAUUAGGCUCCAUGUUUAGCCGCCAUUUCGGAAGCAGAACCGUCUGGCUAAGAAAAGGUCCUCUUUCAUCUUUCUUGUCAGACAUAUUAAUGAAGCUCCAUUCAAGGAACUGCAAGACCAUUAAAGAAAGAUCGAAGCAUAUCAAAGAAUGAGUCUUUACAGCAAUAACUGUUUAACAUUACCAUUUCUAAUUUAGACUUCUUUGGAGUCUGCAUUUAUAGUUAUAAGAUAACUGCUAGAAUGUGAUUGCCAUCCACAGAAAAUAAAACUUGCUUUAAGGCUGCAGUCUUGAGCACAUUAACCCAGGAGUAAGCCCCAGUGAACUUUGUGGAACUUACUUCUGGAUAGACAUGUAUAGGAUUCCUCUGUAAGUCAAGUUGAAAGCAGAGUAAUUUAAAGUGAUAGUUAAGGAUGAUACUGUUGUUGAUUUUGUCCCCACUGAAAGAAUGAUAAAUUGCUAAUACAAAUAUAUUUGAGAACUACAUCAGGCAUGCAAACAAAGAUGCCUUGAUAAUUGGCUCUAUAAUGAAACUAUUAUGUGAGUGCACAGUUAACACUAUAAGCUCAGAAGUAGUCGUAGUUUAAUUUUGUGACUAAGUAAAUAGAUAUAAUGUUUUUCAGUGGUACCAGGAUGGCAGAACUGGCCCUGGGUUUCUCAAUUUGCAUGGUUGUUUGCCCUGGCACUCCCUUCCAGAGUAAGUGUAAAAGAGGGGAUUUGUUUGCUCUGCAUGACUCAUUGUGAGUGGGCCACUUAAAACUGAACCUUUGACCUAGUUCACAUGACAUGGCCAAGUGGGUUAUUUAACUCAUGAUGGGCUGCAAAGCAUAUGUCAUCAUUUUCAGUAACCCCAGUUACCACCCAGAGAGUCCUGCUUGGGCUAUUGGGUGUGGUUUCAUAAAUCAAAUAAAUCACAACUUUUGUCAUACAAACUUCACUAUCAAGGAUUAUUUGAGAGUUAAACUACCUUGGCAUAAUCUUCCAUUAGUAGUACAAUUAUGUGAGGGCUGUUUAACCCUCAGAGCAGGAUAGCCAAGCUCACACAACAUGGCACAAGCCAGUAUCACCUUGAUUGGGUGCUGCAUGUUUAAAAUGGAAGCUGCAUGCACCUGGAACAUGCCACAGCUGGUAUCAUUUAUGCUACUUGAGAGUCACAUGAUGAUUCUAAGAGAACCUCCAUACUACAAAGUGGGGAACAUAAACCAUCCAGAUUGAACACCCUCUAUCCAGCAAACCACCUACUGAACUCCCUCUGUCCGGAAGAGCCACCCACUCAGCAUUUUGAACUUGUCUGGAUUGUGCUUCAGUUUAUUAGGCCACAUCCAGUCCACUAUUAUAAUUAGACCCAGAUCUACCACAUUAAAAUGAAGUAGAGCUGCUUAACCUUGGAAACCCCUCAGUAGUUUCAUGUAAAUACUAUCCUGUGGGACAAACCAAGCAUCAUUCAUGAGGCUGAGCAAUAUCUCCAAACACUACCUUCUGCAGCCGGUCAUCUAGACUUCUGUAGCUGACUAGAAGUAAAACUAGAGCAAGCAAUAAUCUCCAUCUUUGCUCAAACAGUUGCCCCAGAAAAAUACUAUGGUCAGUGGUUGAAAAGAGGCCAAAAACUAAGGAAAACCAACAGGGUCACAUUCUCCCUGUCUCCCCCCCCCCCAUACAGGUGAUGGAACAGGACAGCCAAUCCUGUUUUCAUCACUGGCAAAGCUUUACCAGACGAAGAUGAUAGGAAGAGGGUGUGCUUUUGGUAUAAGCCACAUCAUUUUGGGCCAUUUGUAAUGAGUGGGGUAAAAUCAAUGCCAUUUACUAAGGGAAUUGAUGCCCUUUUCCUGCAUAGUACAUACUUGCCAUAUAUCUUCUAUGUGGAAGAUAAAAUAGGGGAGAACAGUCAGAUGAGUAAAAUGUCAAGAGUUUUUGUUUUUUGUACACCAUUCCGAAGCCAUCAAAUUGCAAUUUAAAUUAGUGUCUAUACAAAGCACGGUAACAGCCACAAAUCUGCAGUUUGCCAGCCUGCUGUGGGAAAUAAAAUGUUGCUCUGUUGACCAUUUUUAGUUCUGGGAAUGAGUAAGCAAGGACUCAACAACUAAUGAACAUCACUUCUCAGUAACAGAGCAAAUGCAAAUUUGAUCCUCUGCAUGUGUGUCCUCACUUCAACUUGCAGUCUUCACAGAUCUGUAAAGGAUUAUAACUCUUGCUAUAACAAGACCAAUGUGAGUGACUAUUUUUAGAACUGAACAGACUCCUUAUUUAGCCUUGAUAGAACAGAAAGGAUUGUUUUGCACAACUUCGUGAAAAAAAUUUGUAACAUUUCCAAUUAUAACAUUUAGCAUUGUGGAAUCUCUACUUCAAGAAACUAUCAGAAGAACUAACUAAGAAAAUCAAGCUGAAUUAAUUCCAGAUGUAAUUAUAGCCUUUUCUAGAAUUUUAGCAGACUAAAUCUGGCUCUCUACUUGUUAACCACUCCCAUGAAAUAAAAUAACACAUAAUUAAGAGGACUAUUGUAUAGCUAGAAGAACCAUUGAUUAAGAUCCAGGCCAUUCGUGUUACUUUGUACAAGUUAAUUUAAGAAUGGGGCUCUCUACAUCCCAAAAGGAUAGGUGGACUUUUAGGGUUGUAUGCACAUUUGACAAUGUGAGAAACUGUCUUGGGCACCACCACAAAUGGCUGCUAACAUGGGAGGCAAAGUAAAGGGCAAGUGACCUGGCUAAAAGUUUUGCGUAUACUUCUCAGCACACUAAACUCCUUUAAACUCGGUUUCCAGUAAUAACAAAAGUCCCAGCUUUACUGCACAGUUCCUGAUUGGCUCCUUUGUAGGUUGUGCAACAUGAUGAGUGAACCUGCAUCAUUGGAUUGUGUGCAGAUUAAACAACUUGGUGGCUAACCCAACAACACACUAUGUCUUUAAACUGAUGGAGUGUGGCCAUGUAGGUUGUGUUCAUAUAUAAUACUAACCCAUGCAUUGUUGGAUUGUGCACUGUUGUAUGAACUCAACCACACUAGCAAAGCAUCAACCAGUUUAUUAACCAGAUAAUCCAGAAAGAAAACUUAUGGUUGGUUGUUGGGUUGUGCACUCUGGGUUGUUUAAAGCAUGUAUUUUCAUUAGGUUUGAACUCAGAAUUCUGCAUUGUUCAUAGGUUGUUUUGUCACGCUACAGGGAUGACAGGUAAAAGUGAUUACUCCUCCGUACACACAAAGUCACUCUAUUACUAGUACUACAUUUUCACAAAUUGGGAAUGUCUGCUAGACAACAUGGCUUAACUGUGAGUUAAAAUUAUGUACAAACCAGAUCAAAAGCAUCUGUUAAUUUUUUUUUUUAAAUGCCACUUUGCAUGUGGUAGGCAGUGCCCUAUAUUGGGACUUGUUGGGAUUUGAUAAGUCAGAAGUGUUUAGGGGAUGAAAAUGAGCAUGUAGUUAAUAUUGGUUUGCAAAAUGAAGCACUUUUAAUGAAUUUACUACUCUGAUCAGCUUGCUUUGCAUCCAGUGAUGCCUGUGAGAUUUAGUGUUUCAUCCACUGGCAAAUGAGAAAAGUCAUUAUGCAUAUUUAUCACAUGAUCCACUUCAUUAGACAAAUGGAUCUGGGAGAAUAAGCUAUCCUCCUAGAAGACUCUUCAGAGCUCCCACACAAACUGUUUACUGAUGUAUAUUCUUCCUUAGUGAGGGAAACAAUGAAUUUCUUUAUAGUGGAAUGAAUGAUUCAGGAAGUUCAUUCUCUCCUAUCCUUAUUCACAAGUACAGAGAGGAAGCACCCAAAGAUAGUCUCACAAUGAAGCUACAGAGACCUUGUAAAGCUUUAAGUAAGAAAGGAUAAAUCAAUGGAAGCUAGCUGUUAGCCAAAGCUGCCUCAUUUGUACUUGUGUAGCUGCCAUAUAAUGUUGUAGUGUUCAUGCAGAACUUUGGCUGUGACUGGGGUUUAUAAGCUGUGCUUGAUAGAAAAUAGUUUCUUAUGUGUAUAGACAUGAGGUCAGUCAUAUUUUCAUAUGAUUCAGCUGGAAGCACAUGGUCUUUUUUUUACAGCAUAUUCUAGAAUUUAUUAAAUGUUUCUAAAGUAUUA
This is a long non-coding RNA of Varanus komodoensis (Komodo dragon), 4222 nucleotides long. RefSeq lists it as uncharacterized. The transcript has 2 exons. NCBI's taxonomy places the organism in Eukaryota, Metazoa, Chordata, Lepidosauria, Squamata, Varanidae. The record is from RefSeq and is a predicted model, not a curated record.